RNAcentral lists this ribosomal RNA (475 nucleotides) under Klebsiella sp. oral taxon A36. Its description in RNAcentral is "bacterial SSU rRNA". It matches the Rfam family "Bacterial small subunit ribosomal RNA", at positions 30 to 494 of the family's 1533-position model. Lineage: Bacteria; Pseudomonadati; Pseudomonadota; Gammaproteobacteria; Enterobacterales; Enterobacteriaceae. The record is from RNAcentral.
AUUGAACGCUGGCGGCAGGCUUAACACAUGCAAGUCGAGCGGUAGCACAGGGGAGCUUGCUCCCCGGGUGACGAGCGGCGGACGGGUGAGUAAUGUCUGGGAAACUGCCUGAUGGAGGGGGAUAACUACUGGAAACGGUAGCUAAUACCGCAUAACGUCGCAAGACCAAAGAGGGGGACCUUCGGGCCUCUUGCCAUCAGAUGUGCCCAGAUGGGAUUAGCUAGUAGGUGGGGUAAUGGCUCACCUAGGCGACGAUCCCUAGCUGGUCUGAGAGGAUGACCAGCCACACUGGAACUGAGACACGGUCCAGACUCCUACGGGAGGCAGCAGUGGGGAAUAUUGCACAAUGGGCGCAAGCCUGAUGCAGCCAUGCCGCGUGUGUGAAGAAGGCCUUCGGGUUGUAAAGCACUUUCAGCGAGGAGGAAGGUGGUGAGCUUAAUACGCUCAUCAAUUGACGUACUCGCAGAAGAGCACC